RNAcentral lists this ribosomal RNA (465 nucleotides) under uncultured bacterium. RNAcentral describes it as "partial 16S ribosomal RNA". It matches the Rfam family "Bacterial small subunit ribosomal RNA", at positions 338 to 795 of the family's 1533-position model. The record is from RNAcentral.
CCUACGGGAGGCAGCAGUGGGGAAUAUUGCGCAAUGGGCGAAAGCCUGACGCAGCGACGCCUCGUGAGGGAUGAAGGUCUUCGGAUCGUAAACCUCUGUCAGCAGGGAAGAACGGACACUGUGCUAAUCAGCAGUGAAUUGACGGUACCUGCAAAGGAAGCACCGGCUAACUCCGUGCCAGCAGCCGCGGUAAUACGGAGGGUGCGAGCGUUAAUCGGAAUUACUGGGCGUAAAGCGCUCGUAGGCGGUAUGUCAAGUCAAGUGUGAAAGCCCCGCGCUCAACGUGGGAACUGCCUUUGAAACUGGCAAACUGGAGUGUGUGAGAGGAUAGUGGAAUUCCAGGUGUAGGAGUGAAAUCCGUAGAGAUCUGGAGGAACAUCAGUGGCGAAGGCGACUAUCUGGCACAUAACUGACGCUGAGGAGCGAAAGCGUGGGUAGCAAACAGGAUUAGAUACCCCAGUAGUC